RNAcentral lists this ribosomal RNA (371 nucleotides) under uncultured bacterium. Its description in RNAcentral is "partial 16S ribosomal RNA". It matches the Rfam family "Bacterial small subunit ribosomal RNA", at positions 338 to 706 of the family's 1533-position model. The record is from RNAcentral.
CCUACGGGAGGCAGCAGUGAGGAAUAUUGGUCAAUGGACGAGAGUCUGAACCAGCCAAGUAGCGUGAAGGAUGACUGCCCUAUGGGUUGUAAACUUCUUUUAUAUGGGAAUAAAAUGUUCCACGUGUGGGAUUUUGUAUGUACCAUAUGAAUAAGGAUCGGCUAACUCCGUGCCAGCAGCCGCGGUAAUACGGAGGAUCCGAGCGUUAUCCGGUAGUGUUGGGUUUAAAGGGAGCGUAGGUGGAUUGUUAAGGCAGUUGUGAAAGUUUGCGGCUCAACCGUAAAAUUGCAGUUGAAACUGGGGGACGGGAGAGCAGUAGAGGGCGGCGGAACGCGUGGUGGAGCGGUAAAAUGCGUAGAUAGAAGGAAGAA